AAUGCGCCGUUAUAAUAAUUAUUAUGCUCUAAGGUAUGCUCAUCACUCACCGAUCGUAGGUCAGAAAAUCAAUACAUCGACCAUGUCGUGACACAGCGACUACGAUCGCUACCAACCGCGUCGGCCGACGGUCGCCAGUCGUAAGUCGUAGACUACUCGCAUUACGCCGACAGCUGCUGCUGCACCAGGUAAAAUCUUUUGGAUGUCGAUCGAUUGUUGUGCCGGAUUCAAUUCGAUUACCGUUAUGUUUUUAUUGUUGUGACGGUGAUGACGGGUGUUAUGUGGCCCUCAUAAUGGGGCCUAGGCGAGAUCAUUGGUCAACAUUGGUUCAUCGCUGCACGAUCGCCACAGUCGUCGUCAGUAGGCUGCAGCACCAAACCACGUUCCAGGUCCGUUCCGAGAUGUCGUUGUCUCUUCAGCAGCGUCACGCCCAGAGUGCUGCAGGUAUUGGGAUGCAAUCCCAGUUUCAUGACGCUGCAGGAUACGAAACUCAUGUGGUUGGCGCACGUCAACGAACGUCAAGUUUGAAAGUUCAAUCUCAAAAUUGGCAAAAAAACGCGAUUACUACUUUCCAUUACAUUUUGUAGAGGAUAAACAAAAGUUUGAAGUUGAAGGGCUACAUUAAUAAUUCAUCAUACACCUGUACAUACAACUAUAUCAUAUAGUUAUAUUUUUGGAAGAAGAUAAUGCAUUGUUCUCUGCUGAUUGUGUACUUGGAGAGGGAACUACUGUAUUUGAAGAUCUAACAGAAUAUUUAAAAUCAUUACAAUUGAUUUUAGACUUAAUCCUACUGUUAUAUUUCCCGGUUACGGCUCUGUAAUAAAAACGUAUUUUAAUUGAUACCGGAGAGCCAAAUGUAAGAGCCAUAAUAUAUAAAAAAUCUUCAGGAAAAGAUGAUAAAGUAUAAUUUUCAACUUGAUUAUAUUAUAAUAUCACAUUGGAUCUUGGAUCACAUUGACGGGGUAAAAAAUGUGUAGGAUAUGAUCGCCAAUAAAAAUGAACGUCAAGUUUGAAAGUUCAAUCCCAAAAUUGGCAAAAAAACGCGAUUACUACUUUCCAUUACAUUUUGUAGAGGAUAAACAAAAGUUUGAAGUUGAAGGGCUACAUUAAUAAUUCAUCAUACACCUGUACAUACAACCAUAUCAUAUAGUUAUAUUUUUGGAAGAAGAUAAUGCAUUGUUCUCUGCUGAUUGUGUACUUGGAGAGGGAACUACUGUAUUUGAAGAUCUAACAGAAUAUUUAAAAUCAUUACAAUUGAUUUUAGACUUAAUACUACUGUUAUAUUUCCCGGUUACGGCUCUGUAAUAAAAGAUCCAAUUGUUCGAGUAAAUAAUUAUAUUAAGCAUAGAUUAGAAAGAAACGUGGAAUUGUAUAACUUGAUUAAUAAAAGUCUAUCAGGAUUUUUGUCUGAAGAAGGAAUUGUAAAUGUAAUGUAUAAGGCAA
Acyrthosiphon pisum (pea aphid) is the source of this 1443-nucleotide long non-coding RNA. RefSeq lists it as uncharacterized. The record is from RefSeq and is a predicted model, not a curated record. NCBI's taxonomy places the organism in Eukaryota, Metazoa, Arthropoda, Insecta, Hemiptera, Aphididae. The transcript has 7 exons.